CCAAUUAUCCCGAUUAUACCCUCCCAUUACCUAUCAAUUGUUUCCUUUCCUCCGCUCUAUUUCCCUUCCUUUCCCUUUUCUCUGGCCCUCAUCUUCUUUCCCCUCAUGGUAAGUCAUUUUCACUUAUCUAAAGGAAACUCUCCUAGUAGUCCUUCUCGGUACUUGUUCGCUGAGUAUGAGAUGUCAAACCCAAAUUCUUCCAAAAUGGUUAAAUCAGAGAAUCUACCCCUAAUUCUCUUUUCUGAUAAUAUUGAAUCUAAUGCAAAUAGCAUUAUGAAUGCGAACAUGGGUAUGUGCCUUCACUCGGAUAUGUAAAAAAUUUUUAAGGUUGCCUAACAUUUCUCUCGUAAAGACCAACUUGAUGUUGUUGAUAAAUGAAAAAAGAACCAAUCUUAGGUGGAAUUCAUCUCUGCUCAUGGAUUUUCUAGGCAGGAGGUAAAUGAAUUCUUAGCUAAGGGUGUUGUUUCUAGGAAAGUGGAUGCCCACAAUAUGUUUGUGAAAAGUCCCUAGUUAGGUGGUUACUUUGGUUCUAAGUUUUUUGCUUCUGUUGUUCAUAAAUUUUUGAUGAUAAGAGAUGCAUGGAUUGUGUAUAUGGCAGAAUACGAUAUAAUCAAGACGAAUGUAUUUUAGUACUUUGGAUCAAUAGUACACGAAUAAGGAGGGAGAAGUUGAUGAGGAUGUAAGCCAUAUGAUUGUAGCAAGAUAGAUGAAUUGGUUUGGUGCAUUAAGAGUGUUGUGCUUCUAGAGUCAUCCUACUUUUUUGUGAUUUUUCUCUCACUCUACUAAUGGAUGCAAUUGUUCUAUGUGCAUGUGUUGGUAAUUUUUCAGCUAUAUUUUUGUUACCGAUUCUUAUGUAUUAUUUUAAACUGAUGUAACUGGAGCUGUCAUUUUCUUACAUUUGUUUUGUCUUUCUAGAUAAUGAUUAAACUAGAUAUUUUAUGUACAAGAUAUAUUGUCACCUAUCUGGUACCUUAAUAAAAGAGGUUUAUUGUUG
This 994-nucleotide long non-coding RNA is filed under the name Panax ginseng (ginseng). RNAcentral describes it as "long non-coding RNA (PGIN_LNC002237)". The record is from RNAcentral. Lineage: Eukaryota; Viridiplantae; Streptophyta; Magnoliopsida; Apiales; Araliaceae.